UGAAAUUGUUAGGCUGCAGGCUUGUGUUGCUGAAUUAAAAACUGAACGAGACGGACUUAGAGCUGAGCUAGCAAAGGAAAAGGAGAAGAGUGAUGUAAUGCUUCAGAAUAUGUUCAACAUUCUCCAAACCAAGACCUCUAGUUCCUCCAAGCCCUAAAGCCAGUUUAAAAUGCCCCCUCAGUGACCCAGAUUCGGGACUUUUUUUUUUCUGUUUUAACUCAUGGAUGUUUAUUUUUCUUUUUGUGGCCUGUUUUGUAGAAACACCUCC
Molecule: long non-coding RNA, 268 nt
Filed under: Nicotiana benthamiana
Lineage: Eukaryota; Viridiplantae; Streptophyta; Magnoliopsida; Solanales; Solanaceae
Description: long non-coding RNA (NBEN_LNC022477)
Source: RNAcentral